Molecule: ribosomal RNA, 483 nt
Filed under: uncultured bacterium
Lineage: Bacteria
Description: partial 16S ribosomal RNA
Rfam family: Bacterial small subunit ribosomal RNA
Source: RNAcentral
AUUGAACGCUGGCGGCAGGCCAACACAUGCAAGUCGAGCGGAUGAAGGGAGCUUGCUCCUGGAUUCAGCGGCGGACGGGUGAGUAAUGCCUAGGAAUCUGCCUGGUAGUGGGGGAUAACGUCCGGAAACGGGCGCUAAUACCGCAUACGUCCUGAGGGAGAAAGUGGGGGAUCUUCGGACCUCACGCUAUCAGAUGAGCCUAGGUCGGAUUAGCUAGUUGGUGGGGUAAAGGCCUACCAAGGCGACGAUCCGUAACUGGUCUGAGAGGAUGAUCAGUCACACUGGAACUGAGACACGGUCCAGACUCCUACGGGAGGCAGCAGUGGGGAAUAUUGGACAAAGGGCGAAAGCCUGAUCCAGCCAUGCCGCGUGUGUGAAGAAGGUCUUCGGAUUGUAAAGCACUUUAAGUUGGGAGGAAGGGCAGUAAGUUAAUACCUUGCUGUUUUGACGUUACCAACAGAAUAAGCACCGGCUAACUUCGUG